RNAcentral lists this ribosomal RNA (509 nucleotides) under uncultured bacterium. RNAcentral describes it as "bacterial SSU rRNA". It matches the Rfam family "Bacterial small subunit ribosomal RNA", at positions 19 to 518 of the family's 1533-position model. The record is from RNAcentral.
AUGGCUCAGGAUGAACGCUAGCUACAGGCUUAACACAUGCAGGUCGAGGGGCAGCAUAUCGAAAGCUUGCUUUGAUGAUGGCGACCGGCGCACGGGUGAGUAACGCGUAUCCAACCUUCCCUAUACUAGAGGAUAGCCCGGCGAAAGUCGGAUUAAUACUCUAUGUUCUUCGUAGAAGACAUCUGAAAUGAAGCAAAGGUUUACCGGUAUAGGAUGGGGAUGCGUCUGAUUAGGUUGUUGGCGGGGUAACGGCCCACCAAGCCUACGAUCAGUAGGGGUUCUGAGAGGAAGGUCCCCCACAUUGGAACUGAGACACGGUCCAAACUCCUACGGGAGGCAGCAGUGAGGAAUAUUGGUCAAUGGACGAGAGUCUGAACCAGCCAAGUAGCGUGCAGGAUGACGGCCCUAUGGGUUGUAAACUGCUUUUAUACAGGGAUAAAGUGCACUACGUGUAGUGUUUUGUAGGUACUGUAUGAAUAAGGACCGGCUAAUUCCGUGCCAGCCGCAGC